AGCUUUAUUCCAGAUAAGAAGGCACUGUUGAUCAGUGUCCAAAACUGGUCAACAAGGUUAAAGGAGACACAGGUUUUGCUUCCAUCACACUAAACGCAUUCCAGUAGUGACAAUGAGACCUACAACAUUU
Molecule: small nucleolar RNA, 130 nt
Organism: Perognathus longimembris pacificus (Pacific pocket mouse)
Lineage: Eukaryota; Metazoa; Chordata; Mammalia; Rodentia; Heteromyidae
Product: small nucleolar RNA SNORA1
Exons: 1
Source: RefSeq, a predicted model, not a curated record